RNAcentral lists this ribosomal RNA (429 nucleotides) under Chloroflexota bacterium. RNAcentral describes it as "Chloroflexi bacterium partial 16S ribosomal RNA". It matches the Rfam family "Bacterial small subunit ribosomal RNA", at positions 355 to 776 of the family's 1533-position model. The record is from RNAcentral. Lineage: Bacteria; Bacillati; Chloroflexota.
UGGGGAAUAUUGCACAAUGGGCGCAAGCCUGAUGCAGCCAUGCCGCGUGUAUGAAGAAGGCCUUCGGGUUGUAAAGUACUUUCAGUCGGGAGGAAGGUGGUAAGGUUAAUAACCUUAUCAAUUGACGUUACCGACAGAAGAAGCACCGGCUAACUCCGUGCCAGCAGCCGCGGUAAUACGGAGGGUGCAAGCGUUAAUCGGAAUUACUGGGCGUAAAGCGCACGCAGGCGGUUUGUUAAGUCAGAUGUGAAAUCCCCGGGCUCAACCUGGGAGGGUCAUUGGAAACUGGGAGACUUGAGUGCAGAAGAGGAGAGUGGAAUUCCAUGUGUAGCGGUGAAAUGCGUAGAUAUAUGGAGGAACACCAGUGGCGAAGGCGGCUCUCUGGUCUGUAACUGACGCUGAGGCUCGAAAGCGUGGGGAGCAAACAGG